GUCACGAUAGCUCAAGUGGUCAGAGCAGCGGCGUACGGAGACGAAGGUCGUGGGUUCGAAUCCCGCUCGUGACA
RNAcentral lists this transfer RNA (74 nucleotides) under Cimex lectularius (bed bug). RNAcentral's name for it is "tRNA-Arg". It matches the Rfam family "tRNA". Rfam says of the family: Transfer RNA (tRNA) molecules are approximately 80 nucleotides in length. Their secondary structure includes four short double-helical elements and three loops (D, anti-codon, and T loops). The record is from Rfam by way of RNAcentral. Lineage: Eukaryota; Metazoa; Arthropoda; Insecta; Hemiptera; Cimicidae.